GAGGGUAGGGCUAGUGGUUGGGGUAGAGGUAGGGGUAGGGUUAGGUCUAGGGUUAAGGCUUGGGGUAGGGUUAGUGGUUGGGUUAGGGGUUGGGGUAGGGUUAGUGGUUGGAGUAGGGUUAGGGGUAGGGUUAGGGUAGGGUAACCCUAACCCUAUUCCUAACUCUACCCCUAACCCUACUCCUACCCCUAACCCUACUUUAACCCUAACCCUAAACCAACCCUAAUCCUACCCUAACCCUACUACUACCCUUAACCAUUCCCUAACCCUACAUGUAACCCUAACCCUAUGUCUAACCCUACCCCUAACCCUACCCUUACCCGAAGUGCCAAAGUG
Pelobates cultripes (western spadefoot toad) is the source of this 336-nucleotide non-coding RNA. The record is from the annotation of a GenBank genome assembly. NCBI's taxonomy places the organism in Eukaryota, Metazoa, Chordata, Amphibia, Anura, Pelobatidae.